This 459-nucleotide ribosomal RNA is filed under the name uncultured bacterium. RNAcentral describes it as "partial 16S ribosomal RNA". It matches the Rfam family "Bacterial small subunit ribosomal RNA", at positions 338 to 795 of the family's 1533-position model. The record is from RNAcentral.
CCUACGGGGGGCUGCAGUGAGGAAUAUUGGUCAAUGGCCGGGAGGCUGAACCAGCCAAGCCGCGUGAGGGAAGAAGGCCCUACGGGUUGUAAACUUCUUUUGUCAGGGAGCAAGGUGCAGGUCGGGACCUGCUGUGAGAGUACCUGAAGAAAAAGCAUCGGCUAACUCCGUGCCAGCAGCCGCGGUAAUACGGAGGAUGCGAGCGUUAUCCGGAUUUAUUGGGGUUAAAGGGUGCGCAGGCGGAGGCACAAGUCAGCGGUAAAAUCGCGGGGCUCAACCCCGCUGCGCCGUUGAAACUGUGUGCCUUGAGUGCGCGAAGGGUAGGCGGAAUGCGAGGUGUAGCGGUGAAAUGCAUAGAUAUCACGCAGAACUCCGAUCGCGAAGGCAGCCUACCGGCGCGCAACUGACGCUGAUGCACGAAAGCGUGGGUAUCGAACAGGAUUAGAUACCCUGGUAGUC